Molecule: ribosomal RNA, 303 nt
Filed under: Triticum aestivum (bread wheat)
Lineage: Eukaryota; Viridiplantae; Streptophyta; Magnoliopsida; Poales; Poaceae
Description: partial small subunit ribosomal RNA
Source: RNAcentral
AUGGAGCGGCACAGAGUCGUUGCGGUGAGUGCCGGCGUCAACGUCAAGGGGCAUACCCUGCGGCUGGAGCGCGAAGACGACGGCGGCCACCUGCUUGCCUUCUCCUUUGACGCCGACGUGCCCCGGAGCAUAACAGUUUACUUCUUUGCACAAGAAGGUGACGACUGUGUCCUGAAGGGCACAAAGGAAAAUUUGCUCAAACUUUUAAGGAAGGUCAUGGUCAGGAGUUCAGGCAACCAAGUGGAACUGGAAUCAAGCUCGGGGACAAGGAGGAAAGUUUACCAAGUCUUGUUGUUUAGCUAG